CUAGUAAAAGACUGGUCACAGUUUUAGAAGAAAACCAAAGAGUGUGAUCUACAGUGCGAGCUGUGGACCCCAGAGUUCAAGGUUAGACCAGGAGCAGACGCUGCCCUCACACUUCUGAUAGCUAAAAGUGAGAAGUGGUUUUUUACCUGAAGUUAGGGGCACAGUUCAUCUUGCUACCAUGAUGGCCACCAGCCCUGCCUCCGCACAGAACUGUCAUGAAAAUAAUCAGGAACCCUGAACUUCUGAGUGUCUGAGACUUCAGCAAGCAAAAAAUCCUCCAUUUAUUUAACAUGGAAUACUAUUUAAAGCCUUCCUGAAACUAUGUGUACAUUCAUAGUGGUGAUUAAUGCAGAGAAGUGAAGAAUUCAGAACCUGACCCCAAGUUCAAGAUGAGCUGCUAGGAAAAAAAUUCAAAGGCCUUGGAACAGAAUUCCAGCAACAUCAAACCAAAGUACUGAAGCUACAUAGACUUUUUGUCUUGUCACAUUGAGUUCAAUGGUAGAAAAUAAUCUAGAGGUGCCUGGGGUAGCUCAGUCAUUUAAGUGUCCGACUCGUGGUUUUGGCUCAGGUCGUAAUCUCAGGGUGGUAGCUCUGCACUCAGUGGGGAGUCCGCUGGUGGUUCUUCUCCCUUAGUUCCUGCCCGCUGCACCUCGCCCCGUCCUCGUCCACACGGUCUCAAAAUAAAUAAAUCUUUUUUUAAAAAAGAAAAUGAUCUUGUCAGAAGGAAAAUGUGACCACAAGCAGACUUACUGGCAAUUACGCAUUUUAGUUUCAGUGACUCUAUAAAUAAGG
Long non-coding RNA from Mustela erminea (ermine), 792 nucleotides. RefSeq lists it as uncharacterized. The record is from RefSeq and is a predicted model, not a curated record. The transcript has 3 exons. NCBI's taxonomy places the organism in Eukaryota, Metazoa, Chordata, Mammalia, Carnivora, Mustelidae.